AUGUAAUGUGGCCGUCCAAUCACAGACUUCUCAUUGCCUGCCUCCUCCACUGAGCUAAACAACCAGGAAGUAACAUGACUUGUUAUCUGAUUGAUUGUCAGGGGUGUUAAACAUAGCUAAUUUAUGAUAGUGGUAAUUUCAAUUAAAAUCUGCACUUUUUUGCAAAAUGAAAAAAGAGGACACACUUCACACAUAAAUCUUCAUAAAGACACAAAAAGCACAUCAGAAAGAUUUAAAUGCUUUAGGUAUGUGCAGUGUUCCUUUAAUGAACCCCAAAAUCUUACUAAGUUUGCUGUAUG
Molecule: non-coding RNA, 299 nt
Organism: Pelobates cultripes (western spadefoot toad)
Lineage: Eukaryota; Metazoa; Chordata; Amphibia; Anura; Pelobatidae
Source: the annotation of a GenBank genome assembly